GAAGUCUAACAUGUGCGCGAGUCAUUGGGCUGCAAACCCAAAGGCGAAAUGAAAGUGAAGGAAGCUUUGCUUUCUGAGGGAGGAUAGGCGUGUCAGCUGCAAGGGCGGCGCUUCGCACUCCCGAGGCGUCUCUUUCUCAUUGCGAGUAGAGGCGCACUCAGAGCGUUCACGUUAGGACCCGAAAGAUGGUGAACUAUGCCUGGUCAGGACGAAGCCAGGGGAAACCCUGGUGGAGGUCCGUAGCGAUUCUGACGUGCAAAUCGAUCGUCAGAGCUGGGUAUAGGGGCGAAAGACUAAUCGAACCAUCUAGUAGCUGGUUCCCUCCGAAGUUUCCCUCAGGAUAGCUGGCACCCAGGGGAUCGGAGUCUCAUUUGGUAAAGCGAACGAUUAGAGGCAUUGGGGCCGAAACGACCUCAACCUAUUCUCGAACUUUAAAUAGAUGAGAGCUUCGGCUUGCUUAACAGUGAAGCCGGAGACUUGGAUCAGGGUGCCCAGUGGGCCGAUUUUG
This 508-nucleotide ribosomal RNA is filed under the name Idiotrephes asiaticus. RNAcentral describes it as "eukaryotic LSU rRNA". It matches the Rfam family "Eukaryotic large subunit ribosomal RNA", at positions 670 to 1139 of the family's 3401-position model. Lineage: Eukaryota; Metazoa; Arthropoda; Insecta; Hemiptera; Helotrephidae. The record is from RNAcentral.